CCUACGGGAGGCAGCAGUGGGGAAUAUUGGGCAAUGGAGGCAACUCUGACCCAGCAAUGCCGCGUGAGUGAUGAAGGUCCUUUUAUUGUAAAGCUCUUUUCUUUGGAACGAAUAAAUGACGGUAUCAAAGGAAUAAGCCCCGGCUAACUACGUGCGAGCAGCCGCGGUAAUACGUAGGGGGCAAGCGCUGUUCGGAAUGAAUGGGCGGACAGGGUGUGUAGGUGGUGUGAUAAGUUAGAGGGGUAAUAGCCAGGGCUUAACUCGGGGGCUGCAUCUAAAACUGUUAGACUUGAGUACUGGAGAGGAUAGUGGAAGUCCUGGUGUAGCGGUGGAAUGCGUAGAUAUUAGGAGGAACAUCAGUGGCGAAGGCGACUAUCUGGACAGCAACUGACACUGAGGCACGAAAGCGUGGGGAGCAAACAGGAUUAGAUACCCCAGUACUC
RNAcentral lists this ribosomal RNA (443 nucleotides) under uncultured bacterium. RNAcentral's name for it is "partial 16S ribosomal RNA". It matches the Rfam family "Bacterial small subunit ribosomal RNA", at positions 338 to 795 of the family's 1533-position model. The record is from RNAcentral.